GCAUACCAUUUGUAUCUGUAUGUAUUAUCACAAGCACAUACUUGAUUGGUCCAGGUGUAAUAAAGAUCACUUAUCCAAUAUAUUAACCUCCUUCAUAGAACCUAAACCUCAGUGACCCACAAACCACUGUGGUUUUAUAAGGGUUACCCCUACUGUGGAGUCUCUGAGUGAGCGUUAUUUUUCACAAUGUAUUCAGUUACCAUACCUCAGUAACAGUUCUGCGCUCCAGGUCCAGGACUUUGAUUUGAUGAUUAUUGGUGUCUGCAACAUACAACAAGUGGCCAUCAACGCACAGACCACCAGGUUCAUUGAAUGCCGCGUGCGUGAAGUCUACACCGGCGACAUUAGCAGCCUCACCAGUGCCAGCUAUGGUAACACAGUUCUUUGUUUUCGGAUCUACAGCUUUGAUCUGACGUAAAUCGGAAAAAUACAAGUUAGAUGAAGCAUAACACGGGACAGGGUGAUACAAGAAAACCAAAGCCCUGUCUGCAGGCCUUGUUUAGAUGGAAAACACCAGUGAAAACCAGACUUCCUUUUACAAAGUCUAUCUACAAUAAUCUGCAUCAAAAUCUAAACUUUAUUUUCCAACCGAAUUAAACAGAACAUGAAUAAUAAAGUACCACAAGAGCAGGGAUAUUCUGUAGCUGAAUGACACCCCCGGGCAAGUUUUGUGCCCUGUGUUUUAAACACAAUAUAUUUAAUUUAUCUGUAAGUGGAAAAUCCUUAAAGGAACCCUAAAUCACCA
This is a non-coding RNA of Pelobates cultripes (western spadefoot toad), 745 nucleotides long. Lineage: Eukaryota; Metazoa; Chordata; Amphibia; Anura; Pelobatidae. The record is from the annotation of a GenBank genome assembly.